CAUAAAAUUUAAAUAGCAUAAACAGUUUUGUACUAGCAGACAAUGUAAGUUGAUCAAAUAUUAUUUUAAUUAAAAAAAUUAUUAAAAUGUAUAUUUUUUUUUUUAUUGUUUAUGUAAUUUUACAAGUAAAUAAAAACUAAUAAUGGUGAUAAUAAUAAUGAUAAUAUUAGUAGUAUAUAAAGAUAUAUACAGUCUAUAUACUUAUGUAUAUAUACAUUUACGUACAUACUUACUUGCUCAUUUAUAUGGCCACUUGUCCACAUACUAAAAAGGGUUUUUGCUUAUUCAUUCACUUUUUAUUUAUUUAUUUAUUCAUUUUUUUUUUGGUACUUUUUUUGUUAAUAGAAAAAAAAUGCCAACGAUUAUCCAAACAAAGAUAAGAAAAAAGAAAAUAAACGGAAAACAAGUGAUGAUGGGUAUGCAAAAAAUAAAGAAUUUAGUCGAUAUAAACCAAAACAAGAUUUUGAUUAUAAGUUUAAAGAAGAAACUGAGGAUGAUGAUAGUGGAGUAGAAACUGAUAGUAGUGAUAAUAGUAGUUACUUAAAUGAAUUCCGCAAUAGUAAUAAGAGAAAAAAAGAAACAAUGAACAAUAAAAGAAGAAGUGUUUCUUUAGUAUAUACCUAUAAAAAAGAUAUUAUAAAUAAUAUAAAAUUAGCUAACAAAAUUUAUAAACUGACAGCUGACGAUAAAAGUAAUGAUGAUUCGUCAGAUAAUGGUUAUAAAAAUGAAAAGAAAAAUGAUUGGAGAAAUAAAAAUAAGAAAAAUAGAAGGAGUAUAAGCUGUGGUAACUGUGACUCAGACUCUGAUAGUAUAAACACAAAAAAUAAAAAAGUAGAUAUAAAUAUAAACGAAGUUCAAACUAGAUACAAAAAUAAAAAUAUUAAAAUUAUAUAUGAUGGUGAACAAGCAAAACAAAUUAUUGUUAGGAAAAAAAAGAAAAAAGACAGUAAUCAAAAUAAGGAAGAAGAAAAGAGUCGAACAAAAUAUGAAGAUCGGCUGCAGUUGAGUGACAUCGAUAGUAGUUGUGAUAGCUAUGAUACUUAUGAGGAAGAAUCAGGAAAAGGUGGUAGUAAUAGUAGUAAUUUUAGUAGUAAUAAUAGUAGUAGUAGUAGUAAUGGUGACAGCGACUAUAGAAAUAAUGAAAACUACAGCCAAUACAAUAAGAAUGAUGGAAGUUAUUAUAAAAAAAAAAUAACCAAACAAAAAGAGACAAAUGAUAAGAGAAAAGGAAUUAAGUAUAAAAAUUUAAAAAGUAAAAAACAAAACAAAACAAAAAUAAGACUAGAAAAAACGAAAAAAAGUAUUAAAAGCAAGUCUAACACGUUGAGUGAUAGUUAUUGUGAAAAGACACGAAAUAUAAAUUAUAAAAAAAUGAAACGAACAUAUUCGAGUGACAAGCAAAUUGGUAAAAAAGCCAGUCGAUAUCGUAGCGAAUCUUGGUAUCAGUUUGAAAAUGAAGAUAGAGAAAGAGAGCGGGUGAUAGAAAGGGAAUUGUUGAUGAAGAAAAGGGAAGAGUGGAAAAGGGAGAGGGAAAGAAAAAAAGAAAUAGAAAGGGAAGAGUGGGAAAGAAAAAAAAAAGAAAAAAAAGAAAGAGAAAGAGAAAGAGAAAGAGAAGAAUGGGAAGAAUGGGAAAAAGAAAAAAAAGAGAGAGAAAGGGAAAAUGAAGAGUGGGAAAGAGAAAAAAAAGAAAAAAAAGAGAGAGAGAGAGAAAGAGAAAGAGAA
RNAcentral lists this long non-coding RNA (1722 nucleotides) under Piliocolobus tephrosceles (Ugandan red Colobus). RNAcentral describes it as "lncRNA (ENSPTEG00000004971.1)". Lineage: Eukaryota; Metazoa; Chordata; Mammalia; Primates; Cercopithecidae. The record is from RNAcentral.